This is a non-coding RNA of Myotis davidii, 75 nucleotides long. The record is from Rfam. NCBI's taxonomy places the organism in Eukaryota, Metazoa, Chordata, Mammalia, Chiroptera, Vespertilionidae.
AGCAGUUCUCAAGUGACACACCCCAGAAUCAGGCUCCCUCCUCGCUGGUUCUGGAUGCAUCACCCGAGAACCGCA